GGCCCAGAAUGGUGUAGUGAUUAGAGUAUUGGACUAUGACUCUGGAGAUCAGGGUUCAAAUCCCUGCUUGGUUA
Phrynosoma platyrhinos (Desert horned lizard) is the source of this 74-nucleotide non-coding RNA. Lineage: Eukaryota; Metazoa; Chordata; Lepidosauria; Squamata; Phrynosomatidae. The record is from the annotation of a GenBank genome assembly.